UGGGUUGGGCGCGGCUGCGAACGUCUCGGCGGUGGGGCGGCUGUGUGCCUUCCCGGCCCGGGUGUGUGUGUGGAGGGGGCGCCGCGAACCCCGCGGUCUCGCCGGCGCGGGCCUCUCACGCGCUCCGUCCCCGCAAGGGCCACACCCGGACCGCGGGGCUUCCCGGUGCAGUCCGCUCCUGAAAGGUUUCCUGAGAGCCGAUUAGGCCGUGGUUUUUACCAGAAUGGAAAAAAAAAAAAGGCUUCUGCUCCUUCAGUCACAGAGAGAGAGAGAGGCAGAGACACAGGCAGAGGGAGAAGCAGGCUCCAUGCACCGGGAGCCCGACGUGGGAUUCGAUCCCGGGUCUCCAGGAUCGCGCCCUGGGCCAAAGGCAGGCGCCAAACCGCUGCGCCACCCAGGGAUCCCCAGGGAAGCCUUCUUGAAGAAAAUAUGGCUGGGCAGACUCUGAAGGAGAGCUAGUGGCCGGCCAGUGAAGAACGGAGGAGGGCAUCUUGGGCAGCCAAGACAGCAUAUUCAAAGGCUCAGCAUCAUGAGAAGCAUGGGAGCAAUGCAAUAUUUCUACUUACCUAUAUAAGGAAGUCUAUAAAAGGCCUGAAAAUACAAAAUUCUCUGAAGAAGUAUGCGGUCCUAAAAAGAAAUAUCAAAUACCCACAUGGUAUUGUGGGCUGAGCAGGGCCAUUGAAGUCAGAUCGAGGUUCCAUUAGGUCCAGACACAGGGAUGGAAGUUAGAAGCUAAGAUUGGGUAAUGAGACAGAGAAGAGAGGGCAGGGGCUCAACAGCACUCAGUGUUCAGUGACUGGCUGUUCAGUGAUUGGCUGUAAGUGGAAGGGGUAUAGCAUCCCCUGGAGUAUUAGAAGCACACCUGGGCCCAUUAGGAGUUGUGAAGGAGACCACAACCCAUAAUCCCAGCCCUUGGCGAAGUGGGUCCCUGGUUUAGAUGAUGAAAACCACCUUAGCUCCACCCACAGCUGAUGCAUGGCCUUGUCCUUGUCCUAUGCUGUCCUAACCCCCAAGAACAGAUAACCAGUCCCUGCAUCGUUAUCUUCUGGCCUACUCUGCAGGCCACACAGGGUCUAGGCAAGGUCAAUGACUUCCACAAAGCAAGCUGGCAAGUUCUUAGGAUUUAGGCCACACCACAGGAUCUCUGGGGAUUUCACAUUUUUAUUCACUUGGCAGAUUGCCCCACAUGCUCUUUGGGUUAAGCUGAGUGUGAUCCUAGAAGGGCCAUGCAGUAAAUAUACCGAGGAGAACCUGCCUCCAUACGUAGCCGUUAGAACUUUCGUUCCUCGAAGAAUAUCUAGACUUUUAGUUUAGUUUUAGUUUUGCUUUUCUAUCUUCAAAGAAUGCUCUAGACCUAAUUUUUUAGUUUGACUCUUCAGCUCUAACUUUCAGAUUUGUUUUCAUGCGUUGAUUUUAUCUUCUCACCUUUAGCAAAACAUAAUCCAGGAUGUAUGAUUCAGCUGAAUCCACACUUAGCUUUUCUAAAGUGGAUAUUUUUGUACAUUAGUGUGUGAGGCUUGUGAAGAAGAGAUUUUUUUUACUUUCCAUAAAAUUUCUUGCUCAGUGGUUUCUUAACUAUGGGUUUUCAUCACAUACUUGGUGGGUGAGAUGUUUAGGUUUUGAGGGUUCUAAGCCAGCCAACAAUGUCAUGAAAUCAACCACUGUGUCAAUGUUGUGCUUCUGGGUGGUCGUGUCCUUCAAAGCACAUAAGACGCUCAACCAGCUGAAAGAGAUGAGCUCAGAGAUAUUGGCUCGGAGGAAAAGAAGGAUCACGUUGAGGUCAUUGAUGGGGCAUCCCAGCAUCUUUCUGCUGAGAAGAUCAAAAGCGGGGAGCAUCUCGUAGAUGGAUAGGAGUCGUUUGUCCCACCGACAUAGUCGGGUGAGGUUGUAUAUUAUCACUGGCACCAAGAGGGUGUAUAUUGUUAUACUGGAGAGACUAACAAUUUGCAGAACUGACAGAGAGGUCAGCCUGCAUGUGAUCAGUUGGGGCAUGUGGGUCUCAUCACUUAGCAGCCCUGUCUUGACGGAGCAGCUGAAUUCCUCUUGGAAGAAGACAUCCAGGUGGAAGUGGCCAAGGUACAGGUAGAUGGCUGAGGUGAAGAGGAGCAAGAGGGAGUUCCUCAGGAGGUAGGUAGCCACUAGGGAAUGUGAGCGCUGCUUACAUGCCAGGUACCGCUCUAGCAAGGGGAAUUCAAAGUAUCGUUCCUUCCGAGCCCUGGGCAGGGGAAGAAAGGAGGCAGGGUUAGGAGAGACCCAUUUAGAACCACAUCUGGAGAGAGCCACGUGGGGAAAGUAAUGGAAUUUGUGCAUCCGACGUGGCGUUCUUGGCUCACACGAAAAUCUGCCUUCCCUGAGCAUAACCACUCCUCUCCCUAAAGAGGUGUGUGAGUAUACUUAAUUCUGCAACUGUUGAGUGCAAGGUGGUCAACCCAGUGAAUGACCAGUGAAUAACAAAUGGUCACACUGGCUUUCUGCCCAGCAAAGCAGACUAAACCUUGAAGCUGAAACAGAAUCCUUUGGAAGCAAUAGGUUUAUUAAAUUAGCACUGAAUUGGGAAGUCUAGAUAACCACAUUCUGGUUCUCGGUCUGUAUACUCUGUGUAUGAUUUGUAGGCCACUCCAUUUUAUAAAAAAUUAAUAUGCUAAAAACAAAUAUGCCUAAUAAAUAAUAGGCAUUGGUUGGGAGCUGUGGUGUUCAGGCACAUGUAAGCCAGCCUCUGCUUCGAAGAAGUUUACCAUCUGGCCUGUGGGGAAGAUGGCAGAUAAGAUAUGCAAAUAGGCAAUAAAAAUUGUGCUUGAUUUGUGGCUAAAUUGAUGGGUACACACCACGGUGUUGUAGAAGUUAGGAGAGAGGUGACUCAUGGGCCGGAGUGUUCAGAAACCUUUACAGAGAGUAUAAGAGUUGGUUUUCAAGAGGUUGAGUUCAGAAAGAUAGACGGGAGAGGAGCUCUUUUCAGAGGAAAAAUUAUGUGCCCAAACAUGAGAGACGGAAUAGUGUCAGGUCUCAGCUCAGCGCUCCUCUUGAUGGGGCCUCCCUUGGCCGCCCUAUUUAAAGCUGCCCCACUCCACAGCUUCCCAGCUUUCCUGACCCCCUCACCUGGCUUUACUUUCCUUUCAUACCCCUCAUCUUCUGCCGUAUAAUUUGCUUAUGUGUUGUGUUUACCUGUUGUCCGUUUCCCCUCAAUAGAAUGUGAGCCCCCUAAGGGUAGGUGUAGCUUGGUCUCCUCCCCACCCCCGCCCCCAACACACACAGCGCACACUGAUGGAUCCCAGGCACCCAGAACGGCACCUGCGAUGCCAGUAAAUGAUGCAUGAAUGCUUAAGCGAACGAAUGGUUAGUCAGGAGAAGAGGAGACUGCCUGGGUGGAGCGGGAGGUCACUGGGUGGUCAGAGGUGUGAAAAAGUGGUUGGUGACAGUGUGUAGAGGGCCUUGGAGAAAUACUUGGGAGAAUUUGGGCCUUUUUUAGUAGGCAUGGGGGGAGGUUCUGAGCAGGGGAAUGGUAUGUGGCAGUGGUACAUUAGAGAGAUUAGCCCCUUUGGGACUCAGGGUGUUCAUCUGUAAACUGAGGAAGAGUCCUUGUUCUCCCUGUACAGAAAUAAUGGAGAGUUAGUGAGAUGCUGUGUAAAUACUUUGGAUUCCUGAGAAGGAUGGUACAGAGAAUGGUUCAAAGAUGACCCUGCAAUGAUACCAUGUUAACGCUCAGCUGAGCCCUUCAGAAAGGGAUGGGAGACAACUCACUUCUCCAGCUCAUCCCAGAAAACAUGGGGGUCUGAGCUCUUCUGCUGGAUCUUCAACAUGUGCUGCACCAGGCGGAUGGAGCGAUUAUAGGAUUUGUCCAGUUCACUGAUGAUGAACAGCAGAUCUGAGCUGAGGGCUGGUGCAGCUGCAUACUGCCACAGCAGAACUGUUCUUAUCACCAGACAUCUGGAGUCUGUUUGCUUUCCAAGCCCAGCCAGGCAUCCCACUAUUGCUGAGAUGAGGAGGUCCAAUCCCGCAUCGUCUAUACGGCCUCCCCUCCUGUGCAGUGGUCUUUUCAUCUCUGCAUUUGUGGUCACAUCACGACACCAGCAGGCACCGUCUUGGGAUCCUUUGGGGGCUACCUCUGUUAUGUAUGUAUACAAGCUGACAUUGAGGUGUGUCCUCAACUAUACAACUUGCUGCUGAGAUAAGCCACUAUCUUGCCCACAGUAAAAACUCUACUUGUGAUGGGCGUUUUGAACCUACAUUUGUGUUAGGUGCUUCACAUGCGUAUUUCAUUUGAUCUUCAGGAGGAUGCUGGCAGGCAGGCGCUAUUAACAUCUGUCUUACAAGGAGAUGGAAACAUGAGAAGGUUAGGUGACCUGUACGGGGUUACACAUCUCGUGGGUGGGUGAGCAGGAUCGGGAAGUAGGCAGUCUGUAGUAGUAAGGAAGGAAGUAAGUAAGUAGUCCUUAAGCUUAUUCCCUUAAGGACUACUUGACUAUAGCUUCUCCUGAAGCAGGGAUGCUUUUUGUUUUAGAGGAGGGUUUGAAAAAGAGUUUGGCUGCAUAUUUGGUUGCAGCUAGGUAGAAGAAAACGGGGUGUUGUGUGUGUUUUUUUUCUAAACUAAACACCAGAGACAGGUUAGGAAAACUAUGCCAGUCCACUAGAGAAAAUCACUUUUAAUUUCAAGAGAUAGCAUUUCUUGAAAAUAAACUUGACCCCCAGAGAGUCUGUUUGAAUAGUUUGAAGUGGAGGCAGAGAAUCGGUUUAAAGAGCGCUUAGGCGAUACAGUCAGACAGUUUGACUCUUUUCUGACAUUUGAAUCUCGUCUGCAAUAUCUUGACCUUGUUGCCAUCUGGAUCCUGCUUGAAGACUUCCAGUGACAAAGACCCCCAUGAACUCUUUCCAUUAAGUCUCUGGUUUUGUCUGGGUCCCAGACCCAUGUGGCCUUUGGAGGCCUUGUAAAUUGUCAUAACUGGUAAAUGUCAGGAGUGACUUCCGAUUCAACAUUGUGAAUUGGACACACACAUGACUUCUGCUCCCUCACAAAGCCCCAAGAGAAUGACAAUAAAGGGAUUAAAAAAAAAAAAAGACCUUAUUCUAUAAGGACAAGGAAAACAGGAGACAAGAGCCAUAAAAUGUUGCAAGCCAGAAAGCAGUAGCAUGCUAGGAAAUAGCAGCCCGUGGCAGGAUGGGGAGUUGAGGCAGGCCAGGCAAGCUGUUUUUGUGCCACAGAGCCAGAAAGACUCAGGAAUUGCAGAUAUGAGGUACAUCUGAAAAUGAGGGGGCAGGUGGGGCUGCAAACAGGAAUAUUGACAAAACAGACACACAGAUCUUCUCUGUAACAUGCACUUAUCGAGCGACUGCCCUUUCCAUCCCCUGGCGGAAGGCCUGUGGUUCACCCCUUGGAAACAUUAAAGAGCUUCUUCACUGGGGUCCAUUAGGGGCAGAGCAACAGCAAUGAGAACCGAGUAAAUUGAGUGAAUACUGAGUGCUGAGACCCUGGAGGGUUGGCAGCGGAGCUUAGUACUAUCUGCACCCUGCCUCCCCCCUGCACAGAUUAAGGAACCAGUGAUUCUUCUUGGAACCGGCGCAAGAGAAAAGAUUACACAUUCCAAUACUUGAGGUUUUCCUAGUGAACUGGCCCAGAGGGUUCACUGUAAACAGAAGGCUGGUCAGCCAGCCUCACUCAUAGGCAUGAAGCUUCCAAUCGGACAAAAGUGAGCCGCCAAAGCUCACCAGACACUUGAAGAAACAUGAGAGUCAAAGAUGAAAAUGAAAAAGCAGGGGUGCAGGGUGGCGAAGGGGCCAGAGAGAAGGAUGUGGCUCUGGGCGGCUCCAGGCGCCACCCCGCGGCUGGAUGGAGCCCGGCCCACUUUACCUUGUGAGGCCACAGGGACUUCAUGUGGUGCUGGCCAAGCUCAUCGUGUUGGUGGUGAACGAGCGAGUCCCAGCAGGAGCUGUCCACGUAGGCAGCCUGCCGGGCGCUGAAGUUACUGGGAGAGAAGCAGCGGAUGGGAGGCCCUGGAAUGGGAACACAGCUUGGAGGCGGCCUGGAUUUGGAGCAGUGGAACGGGGGCCCCGGGGACAGCCAGCCCUGGGCUUUCCAGGGGUUGGCUCCACGGCUCUGCCAAUUUCUAUAUCUGGCAGGUCCUUUCUCCUUGCCAUGGCCCGGUUUUGGGGGGCUGCGCUGCCCGAGUCAGCACAGGUCUGUUUGGCUCAGGCCUGUCCAUGUGCUCGCUGACUGGCCUCAGACGUGGUCUCUUUCCCCUCAGAGCUCUCCCUGGACCCCCAGACACGGGGGGCCCCCCUCACUCCUGGUGGGGGUGUGUGUGGUGAGGUCUCUGAGCCCACAGCAGGAGCAAGGGUGAGCAGGCUGUGCUGAAAGGAAAGUGAGCUUGGAGGGAGAGAUUGGUUUUGCCAUCAUUCUCUAGAGAGAGGCAGAAAGGGGGAACCAGUUGUCCUCUCCAUCUUGGGGGUGACCCAAGAGGCAGUGCGAGGUUGACUGGCUCCUUGGGAAAUAGUAAGCUAAUUGCACAGCCAGAAAAGAAAGCCAGAAAUCCCAAUUCUCAGGAAGUCCCCCUUUAAUAGAGGUGGGAAAUUUGCUGAGUCCAUCUAGGGCCUGGAACACCAGAUAUGUGUGUGUGUGUGUUCAUGUUUGGAAUGUAUUUGUUUAGCAUCUCUGAGGUGUCAGGCUCUAAACAUAAGUCCUCAAACCCGGAAGCCCUAGAGGGGGAGGGUAGGUGAAGGCCGAGACCAUGAGAGGCUUGUCUAAAGCAUGGCUAAGGCCAUUAGUGGUCCUACAUUCUGAAAAGAUCACGGAGCCCCAAUCUCUCUCGUCCACGUGAAAAUCUAAAUAAAAGCUUAAUUUAUUGCAAAGAUGCAUAAAUGCAUCUUUAUGCAAUAUAUGUAACAUAUGAAUACUGAGAUCAAAACUAAAUAUUUUUAUUACAAAAGCUGGGAAAUGAUUUUCAAGCUUUUGGCGCCUCUGCUCUGCUGGUGCCCUACACUCAUGCAUCGUCUGCCUCUUGGGUGAUGCUCAGGCCAAAGUUGCGAAAGCUGGACAGUGUGGGGGCUGCCUCAUUUCAGAGCCUAUGCAAAGAGUGAAAAGCAAAGUGGGGUCUCGUGCCCUGGGCCUGGGAAGCCACUUACCGGAGGAGAACUCCUGGGCGAAUGCCAGGGACAUGAGCAACAGGGGGAAGCCCACGGUUAUGAACUUGAUCAUGCGGUCCAGGGGCAGUUCCAGGCGCAGUCCUUGGAGGCGGGAGCCUCGGCGGUCGGGCAGCAGGGCAUCGGACAGCAUGUACUCCGCGGCUGUGUGUGCGAGCGACAUGGUGCCGCGGACCUUCGGGGGGCAGAGGCGGCAGGAAGGGGCCCCGCACAGUGGUGUGUGGGGGGAGAUGGAGAUGGCAGCUUCAGGCAGCUGGGUUGAGUGGACAGCGCCUGCAGCCCCAGCCCUGCAGAGAUCUGUGCUAGGAGCAGGCCCUGGUUCUCUAAAUAACCAGCCAGGCCCUGAGCCAGGCAUCUGGUAAUUAGAGGGAGGCAGAGAUUAGUGGGUCCUCACUGGAGGAGGGUCGGGUGUCAGCUGGGGCUGGUGCCAGGCUGCUCGCUCUGGAUUGCCCCCGAGCAGAUGCAGUCCUGUGGCUUUAUGCUGUCCUCUCAUUAAUAAAGUAUUUUUGGUGGGGUGGUGGAGAGAAGGAGGGUUGUAGAGCCAGGCCCCCCGUGUAAUUGGUGUGGAAUUUGGGUGGAGAUUGCUUAAACGUGUUGAAGGCCCUCAUCUUGUGGUUAGGGUGGGAGUGGAGCCCCCAAGACCCAGCUAGGACUGUUGCUCCAUAGUAUUCUUUGUCUCUGUGAUGAUUUUUGCCUCGGGCCCAGGCUCUUUCCCAGAAACUAUAUUUGCUGUUCAAUUUUUUCCCUUGCCUCUGGUCUUCUCCCACAAUGUUUCAGCCACGUAUUUACAAUUUCCAUAUAUUUUUCUUUAAAAAAAAAAAAAGCCUCCAUCAGUCCUCUAGAAA
Canis lupus familiaris (dog) is the source of this 7976-nucleotide long non-coding RNA. RefSeq lists it as uncharacterized. The record is from RefSeq and is a predicted model, not a curated record. NCBI's taxonomy places the organism in Eukaryota, Metazoa, Chordata, Mammalia, Carnivora, Canidae. The transcript is spliced from 3 exons.